RNAcentral lists this ribosomal RNA (253 nucleotides) under uncultured bacterium. RNAcentral describes it as "partial 16S ribosomal RNA". It matches the Rfam family "Bacterial small subunit ribosomal RNA", at positions 524 to 776 of the family's 1533-position model. The record is from RNAcentral.
UACGUAGGGUGCGAGCGUUACUCGGAAUUACUGGGCGUAAAGCGUGCGUAGGCGGCGCGGUAAGUCGGGUGUGAAAUCUCGGAGCUUAACUCCGAAACUGCAUUCGAUACUGCCGUGCUUGAGGACUGGAGAGGAGACUGGAAUUUACGGUGUAGCGGUGAAAUGCGUAGAUAUCGUAAGGAAGACCAGUGGCGAAGGCGGGUCUCUGGACAGUUCCUGACGCUGAGGCACGAAGGCCAGGGGAGCAAACGGG